This 248-nucleotide ribosomal RNA is filed under the name uncultured bacterium. Its description in RNAcentral is "partial 16S ribosomal RNA". It matches the Rfam family "Bacterial small subunit ribosomal RNA", at positions 109 to 353 of the family's 1533-position model. The record is from RNAcentral.
AGUAACACGUGAGCAACCUGCCUUUCAGUGGGGGACAACAUUUGGAAACGAAUGCUAAUACCGCAUAAGACCACAGUGUCGCAUGGCACAGGGGUCAAAGGAUUUAUCCGCUGAAAGAUGGGCUCGCGUCCGAUUAGCUAGAUGGUGAGGUAACGGCCCACCAUGGCGACGAUCGGUAGCCGGACUGAGAGGUUGACCGGCCACAUUGGGACUGAGACACGGCCCAGACUCCUACGGGAGGCAGCAUG